Molecule: ribosomal RNA, 251 nt
Filed under: uncultured bacterium
Lineage: Bacteria
Description: partial 16S ribosomal RNA
Rfam family: Bacterial small subunit ribosomal RNA
Source: RNAcentral
UACGGAGGAUCCAAGCGUUAUCCGGAUUCAUUGGGUUUAAAGGGUGCGUAGGCGGAAUGAUAAGUCAGCGGUGAAAUCCCUCGGCUUAACUGAGGAACUGCCGUUGAUACUGUCAAUCUUGAGUACAUUUGAUGUGGGCAAUGUGUCAUGUAGCGGUGAAAUGCUUAGAUAUGACACAGAACACCGAUUGCGAAGGCAGCUCACAAAACUGUAACUGACGCUGAGGCACGAAAGCGUGGGUAUCAAACAGG